CACUAUUAUUCUGAAAAAAGGAAGGAUGCCCGGAAGUGAAUACCUCUAAUGAAUGAUUGAUUGAAAUGAGAAAGUGGAAUACCAUGUGGAUACGAUUACGAAGACCGUUGAAGAAGGUUUAUAACUGCUUUAAACCACUUAAAUACGGAUUUAUUGGACACAAGUGGUUGUGCACGUCUCCGUGUGUGGCUGAAUGCGUCCCAGCCUUACCUACAGCUAGCAGGCUCACGGUGGAGCAAGCUGUCAAGUUAUGGACAGGCCAUUUCCAGCAAAGAGGUGUCUCAGAGCCACAUCUCUCCAGCCAGUACAUCAUUGCACAUUUGCUUGGUGCUAAAACAUUAGAGGGCAUUGGACAGGACAGGCUGGCUGAAUUCCUGACACAAGAACAGACAGAGCAGACAUGGGAGCUCUGUUCCAGACGUCUCACCAGAAUGCCAGUGCAGUAUGUGAUUGAAGAGUGGGACUUCAGAGAUCUGACACUGAAGAUGAGACCUCCCGUGUUUAUCCCCCGCCCUGAAACUGAGGAGCUGGUUGGCCUAGUGCUUACAGAUCUCCAGAUGAAGCAGGGGACUGGAUUAAGUGAGGAGACCAGCUUCAGGUGCCUGGAAGUGGGUUGUGGCUCUGGUGCUAUCUCCCUCAGUUUACUUAAGAGCCUCCCACAGCUCAGAGCGAUUGCUUUAGAUAAAAACAAGGAUGCUGUGGAUCUGACAAGAGAGAACUCGCACAGUUUGGGGUUCCAGGACCGACUUGAGGUUCACCAUAUGGAUGUGAUGAGAGAUGCAGACAUAAUUGUGAGCAUGUGCAGUCCAGUCUCCGUUUUGGUCAGCAACCCUCCGUACCUGUUCUCAGAGGAUAUGAUAUCACUUGAACCUGAAAUCCUCAGGUUUGAGGACCAUGCUGCUCUGGAUGGGGGGAAAGAUGGCAUGCAGGUGAUGAGACACAUUCUGACUCUGGCUCCAAAGCUCUUAUCCAACCAUGGGUAAGGCACUGGGUGUAUUUUCUGCAUCUAGAAAAUAACAUAUAAUCACACGCUUGAAAUGGGUCAAUAUGAAUGUAUCAUUGCAAUCUAUAAUUUCCCUCCCCCCGUUGUUCCUAGUGACCUUACCGCUCAUCAUAUCCAUAUGGUGAAACUCAAGUCAGUUCUGGAGCUCCAAACUGUAUUGGAAGUGUUUAUGCAGGCCACAGUGUUUGUUUUUAAGGGAAUAUUCACAGUAGGCCAAUAUUAUUUUAGAUGUACUGUUUUUUGUGGUGCACACUAAGAAGCUUUCUGUCUAGUCACUCUGUUAUAUCUAUUGUAAAGCAGGUCUCACUACUUCAAUCUCUGUUUUUCAAUGGUUUGAGAAGUUUCACUUCACUGUGUUUUCAUUUCAUCCUGUCUUGCAGUCGUGUAUACUUGGAAGUAGACCCACGUCAUCCACAGCUCAUCCAGCAGUGGGUAGAGGAAAGUGUUGAAGAGUUAGACUACUUGCACACGCAUCGUGACAUCACUGACAGGCCUCGUUUCUGCAUCCUUCAAAAAAAGGAGUGCAACACAGAUCAGGACCAGCAUUGAGAGACUGUGUAAGAUAUGGAUCCUGUUUCACUGGCUUCAGACCAGCCUGCUACAGCCUCAACACCCACCAUCCAUCUGCCAUGUACUGUACAUACUACUGAGCUCAAAUAAUGUAGAAAUUCACAAACACGCACAUAUACAUAUCGUAGAUGGGCUUCAUUUAUACCUGAGGACGUUGUAGGUGCUAAUGUGUGUUUGUGUGGCAAUAAAGGAGGGUGAUCGUGACCGAG
This is an RNA transcript of Oncorhynchus kisutch (coho salmon), 1782 nucleotides long. It is a transcript of the gene named HemK methyltransferase family member 1, with no coding region annotated. The record is from RefSeq and is a predicted model, not a curated record. The transcript has 11 exons. NCBI's taxonomy places the organism in Eukaryota, Metazoa, Chordata, Actinopteri, Salmoniformes, Salmonidae.